Molecule: ribosomal RNA, 1113 nt
Filed under: Triticum aestivum (bread wheat)
Lineage: Eukaryota; Viridiplantae; Streptophyta; Magnoliopsida; Poales; Poaceae
Description: partial small subunit ribosomal RNA
Source: RNAcentral
AUGAAGAUGGCGACUUGCAUUCGUAAGGUGGCCUCGGAGGAGUUUGGAGUGUCCAGGGGAAGGAGAAGUGAAGAUAAGGAUACCUGGUGGUGGAAUGAUGAUGUCCAGAAGGCGCUUAAAGAGAAGAAAGAUUGCUUCAGACGCCUAUACCUGGAUAGGAGUGCAGACAACAUAGAGAAGUACAAGAUGGCGAAGAAGGCCGCAAAGCGAGCUGUUGGUGAAGCAAGGGGUCGGGCAUAUGAGGACCUCUACCAACGGUUAGGCACGAAGGAAGGUGAAAGGGACAUCUAUAAGAUGGCUAAGAUCCAGGAGAGGAAGAUGAGGGAUAUUGGCCAAGUCAAAUGCAUCAAGGACGGAGCAGGCCAACUCUUGGUGAAGGACGAAGAGAUUAAGCAUAGAUGGCGGGAGUACUUCGACAAGCUGUUCAAUGGGGAGAAUGAGAGUUCUACCAUUGAACUGAAUGACUCCUUUGAUGAGACCAGCAUGCGUUUUGUGCGGCGCAUCCAGGAGUCUGAGGUGAAGGAGGCUUUAAAAAGGAUGAAAGGAGGCAAGGCGAUGGGCCCUGAUUGUAUCCCCAUUGAGGUGUGGAAAGGUCUCGGGGACAUAGCGAUAGUAUGGCUAACCAAGCUUUUCAACCUCAUUUUUCGGGCAAACAAGAUGCCAGAAGAAUGGAGACGGAGUAUAUUAGUACCAAUCUUCAAGAACAAGGGGGAUGUUCAGAGUUGUACUAAUUACCGUGGAAUUAAGCUGAUGAGCCAUACAAUGAAGCUAUGGGAGAGAGUCAUUGAGCACCGCUUAAGAAGAAUGACAAGCGUGACCAAAAAUCAGUUUGGUUUCAUGCCUGGGAGGUCGACCAUGGAAGCCAUUUUCUUGGUACGACAACUUAUGGAGAGAUAUAGGGAUCAUAAGAAGGACUUGCAUAUGGUGUUCAUUGACUUGGAGAAGGCCUAUGAUAAGAUACCGCGGAAUGUCAUGUGGUGGGCCUUGGAGAAACACAAAGUCCCAGCAAAGUACAUUACCCUCAUCAAGGACAUGUACAAUAAUGUUGUGACAAGUGUUCGAACAAGUGAUGUCGACACCGAUGACUUCCCGAUUAAGAUAGGACUGCAUUAG